GUCGUCCGUUUUAUUUUUAUUUUCUAAAUGUUUGUUUGUUUAUUAUUUUGUACAUUUUAUUUAUUAUUGUACCUUUUAUUUAUUAUUGUUCGUUUUAUCAGCGUAUGGAUAACUGGUUUUGGUUAUUAGAUUUAGUUUAAGAUACGUUUCAAUAUGCAUUUUUCAUUGUCAACGCACCUUCCUUUGGUUUUAGUGUAACUGUCUAAUUAAUUUCUAUUGGGAGACAUUGAUUUAUUUCAAGUGUUUCUUAACGAUUUCCCCAAUGUUCCUGUUUCUUUUGAAUGCUAUUGUGGGUUUUUUAUCAAAGAGAUUUUUGAACUGUGGGUUGUCUUGAAUUAAAUGCCAAUGUUUUCUUAUAAUGGUUUGUAAAUUUUCCGCAUUAGCGUGGUAUUGUGUUAUGAAAGAUAUAUUAUAGUUAUCUGUGUUUUUGUUUAUUCUUGUUUCUUUGUUUGUUAAUUUGUUUAAUCUUUCUGUAUGGGAAAUAUUUCUUAAUAUUUUAUUUACAAAAGCGAUUUUGUAACCUCUUUGUAUUAAUUUUUCUGUAAAUAAGUUUAUUCUUUCAUUAAAAUUGUCAGGAUCAGAGGUAUUUCUAAGAAUUCGUAUUC
Molecule: long non-coding RNA, 605 nt
Filed under: Mytilus galloprovincialis (Mediterranean mussel)
Lineage: Eukaryota; Metazoa; Mollusca; Bivalvia; Mytilida; Mytilidae
Source: RNAcentral